GAUGAACGCUGGCGGCGUGCCUAAUACAUGCAAGUCGAGCGAAAAGACGAGGAGCUUGCUCCUCUGACGUUAGCGGAGGACGGGUGAAUAACACGUGGAUAACCUCCCUAUAAGACUGGGAUAACUUCGGGAAAGCGGAGCUAAUCCGAGAGAAUCUAUUGAACCGCAUGGUUCAUUGGUGAAAGACGGUUUUUCUGGAACUACUCGCUGGUUCCGCGCCGCAUUAGCUAGUUGGGAAGGUAACGGCUUACCAAGGCAACGAGGCGUAGCCGACCUCAGAGGGUGAUCGCCCACACGGGAACGUAGACGCGGUCCAGAGGACUACGAGAGGCAGCAGUAGGGUAUCUUCGGCAGUGGGCGAAAGCUUGACGGAGCAACGCCGCGUGAGUGAUGAAGAUCUUCGGAGCGGAAAGCCCUGUUAUUAGGUAAGAACAAAUGUGUACUUAGCUAUGCACGGCGUGACGGUACCGAAUCAGAAAGCACCGGCUAACUACGUG
Molecule: ribosomal RNA, 497 nt
Filed under: uncultured bacterium
Lineage: Bacteria
Description: partial 16S ribosomal RNA
Rfam family: Bacterial small subunit ribosomal RNA
Source: RNAcentral